CAUACUGUUUUAGCUACUAAAUAGCAUGUUAGUGUGGAGUUUCGGAUGCAGCCAUGGUGAAUUUAGCUUGGUCUCAGAGAACGAGACGUCAUGACUGAUAAGACAAAGCGUUGGCGUCAGUGCGGGUGUUACCAAAGGUGUCCGUUUGCGACCUUUGAGACUGGAUCACAACCCCGCAGACUCCGAACCAAAACGGGUCAGAAGUGAUUCCAAAUGUCUCCGGUUUAGGGGCUCGGAAACGCCAGAGCAGGAGGAAUGAGGGGGGGAAACGUUGCAGAAGAUAUUCAUUUUUAAA
Molecule: long non-coding RNA, 295 nt
Organism: Etheostoma spectabile (orangethroat darter)
Lineage: Eukaryota; Metazoa; Chordata; Actinopteri; Perciformes; Percidae
Exons: 3
Source: RefSeq, a predicted model, not a curated record